AAUUUUUGACAAUGGGGGAAACCCUGAUCCAGCCAUCCCGCGUGUAUGAUGUAGGCCUUCGGUUUGUAAAGUACUUUUGGCAGAGAAGAAAAGUCAUCCCCUAAUACGGGAUACUGCUGACGGUAUCUGCAGAAUAGGCACCGGCUACCUUAGUGCCAGCACCCCAGGUCAUAUGUAGGGUGCAAGCGUUAAUCGGAAUUACUGGGCGUAAAGCGUGUGUAGGCGGUUCGGAAAGAAAGAUGUGACAUCCCAGGGCUCAACCUUGGAACUGCAUUUUUAACUGCCGAGCUAGAGUAUGUCAGAGGGGGGUAGAAUUCCACGUGUAGCAGUGAAAUGCGUAGAUAUGUGGAGGAAUACCGAUGGCGAAGGCAGCCCCCUGGGAUAAUACUGACGCUCAGACACGAAAGCGUGGGGAGCAAACAGG
RNAcentral lists this ribosomal RNA (424 nucleotides) under uncultured bacterium. RNAcentral's name for it is "partial 16S ribosomal RNA". It matches the Rfam family "Bacterial small subunit ribosomal RNA", at positions 360 to 776 of the family's 1533-position model. The record is from RNAcentral.